This 915-nucleotide ribosomal RNA is filed under the name uncultured archaeon. RNAcentral's name for it is "bacterial SSU rRNA". It matches the Rfam family "Archaeal small subunit ribosomal RNA", at positions 1 to 922 of the family's 1478-position model. The record is from RNAcentral.
UUCCGGUUGAUCCCGCCGGACCUGACUGCUAUCGGAUUGAUACUAAGCCAUGCGAGUCUUUGUAGUAAUACAAGGCAGACGGCUCAGUAACACGUAGUCAACCUACCCUAUGGACAAGAAUAAUCUCGGGAAACUGGGCAUAAUUCUUGAUAGAUCAUAAUGCCUGGAAUGGUUUAUGGUUAAAAUGAUUCGUCGCCAUAGGAUGGGACUGCGGCCUAUCAGCUUGUUGGUGAGGUAAUGGCCCACCAAGGCGAUUACAGGUACGGGCUCUGAGAGGAGAAGCCCGGAGAUGGGUACUGAGACACGGACCCAGGCCCUAUGGGGCGCAGCAGGCGAGAAAACUUUGCAAUGUGCGAAAGCACGACAAGGUUAAUCCGAGUGAUUUCUGCUAAAGAAAUCUUUUGCCAGUCAUAAAACCACUGGUGAAUAAGGGGUGGGCAAGUUCUGGUGUCAGCCGCCGCGGUAAAACCAGCACCUCAAGUGGUCAGGAUGAUUAUUGGGCCUAAAGCAUCCGUAGCCGGCUUUGUAAGUUUUCGGUUAAAUCCAUGUGCUCAACGCAUGGGCUGCCGAAAAUACUGCAUGGCUAGGGAGUGGGAGAGGUAGACGGUACUCAGUAGGAAGGGGUAAAAUCCUUUGAUCUAUUGAUGACCACCUGUGGCGAAGGCGGUCUACCAGAACACGUUCGACGGUGAGGGAUGAAAGCUGGGGGAGCAAACCGGAUUAGAUACCCGGGUAGUCCCAGCUGUAAACGAUGCAGACUCGAUGAUGCAUUGGCAUAAUAGCCAGUGCAGUGUCGCAGGGAAGCCGUUAAGUCUGCCGCCUGGGAAGUACGUACGCAAGUAUGAAACUUAAAGGAAUUGGCGGGGGAGCACCACAAGGGGUGAAGCCUGCGGUUCAAUUGGAAUCAACGCCGGA